AUACUUACCUGGCAGGGGAGAUACCAUGAUCAAGUAGGUGGUUUUCCCAGGGCGAGGCCCACCCAUUGCACCUGGGGUGUGCUGACCCCUGCGAUUUCCCCAAAUGCGGGAAACUCGACUGCAUAAUUUGUGGUAGUGGGGGACUGCGUUCGCGCUCUCCCCUG
Cricetulus griseus (Chinese hamster) is the source of this 164-nucleotide small nuclear RNA. Its record names the gene U1. It matches the Rfam family "U1 spliceosomal RNA". Rfam says of the family: U1 is a small nuclear RNA (snRNA) component of the spliceosome (involved in pre-mRNA splicing). Its 5' end forms complementary base pairs with the 5' splice junction, thus defining the 5' donor site of an intron. The record is from Ensembl. Lineage: Eukaryota; Metazoa; Chordata; Mammalia; Rodentia; Cricetidae.